This 770-nucleotide long non-coding RNA is filed under the name Mytilus galloprovincialis (Mediterranean mussel). The record is from RNAcentral. Lineage: Eukaryota; Metazoa; Mollusca; Bivalvia; Mytilida; Mytilidae.
GGAUAAUAUUGGUCGAGGGUGAUACGGCAUGUGAUACGGAUUCUGCCAUGUUUUAUACGCUUUAUCAUAUAUUUCAACAGGAGAGUAUUAUAUUAUAUGAACUGUUUUCUGAUUCAAAGCACUGGGUUACCUUCAGUUCUACUUUUGUCUUGUGUCAAAGGCCUUAAAAGAACUGCUCAAUUACUUAUCCGAAGCACCUGGGCUACCUUACAAUUUGCGUGCUGUUGUUUUAAAAAUAUUUUGUUUGUAUUUUUUUGUGUGUUUUGUAUUUUUUAUAGUUGCAUUUAGUGUGCCAAAAAAUAUGAAAACUUGACGUUCGUGACGUCACAUACCAAACAAUUACGUCAUUCAAUAAAUUGCAUCACGCCCGCAUGACCGUUCUAUUGGACCUCUUUUGAGGAAAUUUUUCUUAAGCUUACAUAAAUAAAAACAGACUUUAUGUAAAAAAAAAUAAAAAAUAAAAAAUAAAGGGGGGUGAUAAAGGGAAGCGGUGUGAUAAAGGGUAUGCGAUAAAGGGUAGGGGUGUGAUAAAGGGUAAGCGAUAAAGGGUGCGCAUCAAAGUUGCGCGAUAUGGAUUAAACAGCAGGCUAUUUAUCAAAUAUGCAAAACUACUGUAUUUACUACUAAACAUAUGAUAAAUAAACAUAUGAUAAAUAAAUUUAUGAUACCUUUAUGACAUGAAGAUGAUUUUAUAUUAAUUUAUUAACAGGUGUGAAAUCGACACAAAUAGCUUAAUAUUAAGUUUAUGUCACUAACAGAACAGUUAAAAG